RNAcentral lists this ribosomal RNA (424 nucleotides) under Olea europaea subsp. europaea. RNAcentral describes it as "Eukaryotic large subunit ribosomal RNA". It matches the Rfam family "Eukaryotic large subunit ribosomal RNA", at positions 1461 to 1888 of the family's 3401-position model. Lineage: Eukaryota; Viridiplantae; Streptophyta; Magnoliopsida; Lamiales; Oleaceae. The record is from Rfam by way of RNAcentral.
UAGCAAAUAUUCAAAUGAAAACUUCAAAAGUCGAAGAGGAGAAAGAUUCCAUGUAAACAACACUUGUACACAGGUUUGUUGAUUCUAAAGGUAGAGGAAGCUCGACAUAUAGCAUGUUUAUUGUGUGCACCAAAAAUGAAUUGAAUUAAAAUUCUUGAACGAGGAUGCAACGGUUGACUGCAACAUUAAAGAGUUCGAAGACAUUAACAGAGGCCUUGUGAAGAGUUAUCUUUUCUAUUUAACAACCUAUUUACCUUUAAAAUGGCUCACCCUAAGGUAGGAUCAAGCGAUUAGAAGAGCACCGUACAUCACAUGAUGUUAGAUGCACCUCCGACAACCCUUGAAAAUUUGUAGUAUCGAGUACCAUUCUAGCUUGAUUGUGCUCCGAAUAGUAUCAGGUCUCCAAGGUGAAUAUCCUUUGAUC